This is a long non-coding RNA of Pristis pectinata (smalltooth sawfish), 150 nucleotides long. RefSeq lists it as uncharacterized. The transcript has 3 exons. Lineage: Eukaryota; Metazoa; Chordata; Chondrichthyes; Rhinopristiformes; Pristidae. The record is from RefSeq and is a predicted model, not a curated record.
CUCUUCGUUCGAGUCCAUCCAAUCCACAUUUUGCCCAUAGCUAUUCCCUAUGGGAAAAGAUACAGGGCCACCAUUGGAGUAACUAAACACCAUUUCAGACAAAAGCAUUCCAUUGGAUGAAGUUGAGGUGCAAAAUCUGAGACACAAGAG